Pan paniscus (pygmy chimpanzee) is the source of this 579-nucleotide long non-coding RNA. NCBI's taxonomy places the organism in Eukaryota, Metazoa, Chordata, Mammalia, Primates, Hominidae. The record is from Ensembl.
UUCUAAUUAGGCAAAGUGGCAGAGACUCCCUGCCUGAAUCUUACAUAUUCUCUAGAGACUUCCUUGUGUUCCAGCAAUGCCUCUGUUAGGUCUCUAACCUAACCUAAGAUGCUAUUUUGCUAGCUUGCUCUGGCUUGUUUAAUGUUGUUGUGAUUGUCUGAGAACCCCCAAAACUGCAGCCAAGAAAGUAAGGCCACAAUGUCAGUCACUGGAAACAUGCACCUCAGAAGACACCUGGUCUACAAGUCACUUUUCCAACAGGAGUCGCCUAACCCUAGAGAAGCGUCAUUUGGGAGACAUCAAAUUCCCUGAGCUUGUCCGCAUACAACAGCUUGUGAGAGCUCCUGAGGAAAUAGAGAUGAUUAAAGAAAUUAUCAUCGGAUGGCAUGCAGAUCCUCUCCUGCCCUUGGAGUCAUUAUUGCCCUCAAUUCAAGUGUCUGAAAGCAUGACUGAUGAAAGGUAAGACUCCAUUCCUGGCUAGCUGCCACUGGCCACACCCCACGAAGAAUCCCAACAGCCCAGUUUGAAGACUUGUCAUUAGGUAAGAACCCAAUUUAGCAUCUCUAUGUGUGGUUUGCA